This 492-nucleotide ribosomal RNA is filed under the name uncultured bacterium. RNAcentral's name for it is "partial 16S ribosomal RNA". It matches the Rfam family "Bacterial small subunit ribosomal RNA", at positions 29 to 507 of the family's 1533-position model. The record is from RNAcentral.
AGUGAACGCUGGCGGUAGGCCUAACACAUGCAAGUCGAACGGCAGCACAGUAAGAGCUUGCUCUUACGGGUGGCGAGUGGCGGACGGGUGAGGAAUACAUCGGAAUCUACUUUUUCGUGGGGGAUAACGUAGGGAAACUUACGCUAAUACCGCAUACGACCUACGGGUGAAAGCAGGGGAUCUUCGGGCCUUGCGCGAUUGAAUGAGCCGAUGUCGGAUUAGCUAGUUGGCGGGGUAAAGGCCCACCAAGGCGACGAUCCGUAGCUGGUCUGAGAGGAUGAUCAGCCACACUGGAACUGAGACACGGUCCAGACUCCUACGGGAGGCAGCAGUGGGGAAUAUUGGACAAUGGGCGCAAGCCUGAUCCAGCCAUACCGCGUGGGUGAAGAAGGCCUUCGGGUUGUAAAGCCCUUUUGUUGGGAAAGAAAAGCAGCAGGUUAAUACCCCGCUGUUCUGACGGUACCCAAAGAAUAAGCACCGGCUAACUUCAUG